Molecule: non-coding RNA, 79 nt
Organism: Podarcis lilfordi (Lilford's wall lizard)
Lineage: Eukaryota; Metazoa; Chordata; Lepidosauria; Squamata; Lacertidae
Source: the annotation of a GenBank genome assembly
AACAAUAUAACUCAGUUGGUAGAGCAUGGUGCUGAUGAUACCAAGGUUGCAGGUUCGAUCCCCAGCUGCAUAGGAGGUA